AUGCGUCUGAGAGAGAUCACGGGCGCAAUCAACCACACAUUUGAAAUUUCUGGGCCCAUGAUAGAAUCCAGGCUCGUUUGCUGCCAGAAUUCCACCGACUUUGACAUGUGGGUUCAACACCUCCAGCAUCAAAUCAAGAUGGCAAACACUCACUGCCCAGUCAGUCCCAACAAUAACAUCUCUUUUCUGGUGCCGUGUGACGAACCAUGGAAGAAAAGAGAGUUGGUGAGACAUCUGUGGUGUAACACCAUUCUGAAGUGGGAAGGAAAACCUAUUCAGCAUCUGGGAAGGAUACAGUAUUUGACCAUGGUGCAAGUGGCUGGUGGCUGCAUGGGGGUAAUGUACAACGUUUACUGCUCUGACGUGGGUGGCCUUAAGAAGGCUGGAAACAGUGAAAGUUUAGGCUCACACGAUACUGUCGCUUAA
RNAcentral lists this long non-coding RNA (426 nucleotides) under Calidris pygmaea (Spoon-billed sandpiper). Its description in RNAcentral is "lncRNA (ENSCPGG00000011153.1)". Lineage: Eukaryota; Metazoa; Chordata; Aves; Charadriiformes; Scolopacidae. The record is from RNAcentral.